RNAcentral lists this ribosomal RNA (305 nucleotides) under uncultured bacterium. RNAcentral describes it as "bacterial SSU rRNA". It matches the Rfam family "Bacterial small subunit ribosomal RNA", at positions 333 to 655 of the family's 1533-position model. The record is from RNAcentral.
AAUUUCCUACGGGGCGCAGCAGUGGGGAAUAUUGCACAAUGGGGGAAACCCUGAUGCAGCAACGCCGCGUGAGUGAAGAAGUAUUUCGGUAUGUAAAGCUCUAUCAGCAGGGAAGAAAAUGACGGUACCUGACUAAGAAGCCCCGGCUAACUACGUGCCAGCAGCCGCGGUAAUACGUAGGGGGCAAGCGUUAUCCGGAUUUACUGGGUGUAAAGGGAGCGUAGACGGCAGGGCAAGUCUGGAGUGAAAGGCAGGGGCCCAACCCCUGGACUGCUCUGGAAACUGUCCGGCUGGAGUGCAGGAGG